RNAcentral lists this long non-coding RNA (641 nucleotides) under Capsicum annuum. RNAcentral's name for it is "long non-coding RNA (CANN_LNC019978)". The record is from RNAcentral. Lineage: Eukaryota; Viridiplantae; Streptophyta; Magnoliopsida; Solanales; Solanaceae.
GCAAACAUAUUACUGAAGGCAAGCAACCGUUGCAAGAACAAUUAAAAAAAUCUAAAUAUAUUUAUUAAUUAUUUUUAAUGCAUAUUCAAGAUUAUGAGCAAAAGCGAAUUCAUCUGAACAUAUAAGUAAAGUUUUGGAUAAGUGUGCUAUGUAUGCGUAUUUUCUGUCAGUUUUUAGAUGAAGCUAGCUAAUGUUUGUAAAGUGUAGAUGUUUUGUGCAUUGGGUUGUUUUGUGGGCGAAGAGAGCUCAAGUCAUCACUGAAAUCUGUUAAAUAUCAAAAAAAUGAGUUAAGUUAAUAUUAUAAAGUAAGAGAUAGAGAAUGUAAGCAAUCAAAAUUCAUAUCUAAGCCAAACCUCUCCCACCUUCCUGUCUUUCUCUCUCGGUUAGCCUUAUUUGUAGCAUACUUCGCCUCAAAUUAAUAGAUAGAAUCUUCUUGCAUUUUUAGCCUUGAACUUGGGGAUAAUGGAUACUCUAUGACCAUUUUCUUGGUUCUUGAAAACAUUACAAAUUUUAAAGUGACAAUCAUGAAAGAAGCAUUUCGACCACAUAAAUGGACUGACAGCUAUGAGUAUACAAUAUGCAUCAUAUCAAGUUCAAGCCUGAAAAACAGUUUGGCAAAAAUGCAAGGUAAGGAUGCGUAC